Molecule: non-coding RNA, 3866 nt
Organism: Triticum urartu
Lineage: Eukaryota; Viridiplantae; Streptophyta; Magnoliopsida; Poales; Poaceae
Source: RefSeq, a predicted model, not a curated record
GAUCUCUCGCCCCCCGCAUCCUCCCGCACGGGCCGUUCCUCCACGCCCGCACGACCUCUCGCCAUCUCCUCCUCCCGCACAGGCCAUCCCCCCCCCCCCCCCCCCCCCCCCCCCCCCCCCCCCCCCCCCCCCCCCCCCCCCCCCCCCCCCCCCCCCCCCCCCCCCCGGCGCGCUCCCACGUCGCCGCCGGUGGGCCGCCGCAAGACCGUCGUCGCCCGCGUCCAUACCCUCAUCCAUCUGCAUAGCCCCGGCUUCGUCUCCUCCGCGCCGAGGCCGUACGCGCCCUUGAUUUGGACGGCAGUACCACCGGGGCGCAUCACCUUCUUGCGCCUCCCACAUCGGCCUCCAUCUCCAUGGUCGCAAGGGCUUGCCGGCAACACCUGAUCUUUGAUCUGGUUUGUAUGCAUGCGUGUGUGUGAUUAGUUUCAGCGGCCACAUGUCGUUGUAGUAAGAUGAUGCAUCACGCAUUGAAUGGAACCAUAAGGCUAGGAGCGUGUGCACACACUGGCGUCGGCGGCAUGGUGUCAAGCUGCGGAGAAGGCAUCCGGCGAGGCGGCCAUCAGGUGGAUAAGUGGAUGGCACAUGUGUAUAUUGCUGUUGAGGGAUUAUAUUUGACAUUUUAUUUUUAUCCCAACACUAGAUUGAAGUGGUGAUUUACAAAGGAUUUUUAGUGGGGCACAAGUGUAGAUUGAUACAAAAGCAUGCUGAAUAGUGAAGUAGUACCAUGCUAGAAUUACUUGGCUACAUUUUUUUUGUUUCUUUGAUGCAAUGUAAUCUUUGUUGUUCCUGUUAUUAGUGAUUUUUCUAGAACAUCGGGUAAGCACUAUGCUAAAAAAAAAGCUAUUCUAGAAAAGGAUGAGAAGAGCUAUUCCAGAAAAGGAUGAGAAGAGCCUCAAGGUACAUUCUUUUUAUUCUGCCAGUGUGUCUUACAUAUUUUCUAGCUUGCAAUGCUUUAUAAGAUAUUUCAUAUGGAGGUCAAUGUUGAAAAAAAAGGAGUAGUCAACUUGUGGAGAACAAUGUUAAUCAAGCUCUCAUGAUAUUUCCUCUGCUUCAAGAUGCUUUCUCAGCUAUUUGUUAACAUGCUUCUGAACUUUGAUUUUCUUUACUAAACUAGACCAUUGUGCAGGUUCAUGAUGGGUCGUCCUCAAAAAUCUUGACAAUUACCCUUGACACAACACAUGGGAUGUGCUCAAUCCUACUUAUUUUUGUCUGUUAUUUUAUAUAUGUUUUUCACCUCAGAGAUUUUAUUAAAUUUCAGUUGGGUUAUAACAAGAGAUGCAAAUAAAGAACUUUAUUACGGGUUUUCAUAAAACAAAUAUAUACUUCCAAAUACCUUGAAGGUUAUUGAUUAUAUGCAGCAAGGCCAUUUGAUUAAGUUGGCUCUUUUUUGACACCAAUUUAUAUGCAAGCUAUUUGAAUAUAUAUUUGUGAAAGAAAGUACAGAAGUGUGUUUGGGUGAGGCCAAGGUUAAACAUCUCACAUUUUGUUUCAGAAAUCAUCUCUACUUAAGUCCAAGAGGUCAUCAGGUGAUGAGAUGGAUGAACUCCCAGUUUGCAUUUAUUGGGAGCUAUGAAACUGGUAAAAUGAUUAUGGUUCCCGCAACUCCUAAGCCUAUUACAUUGGAACUUGGUGAAGAAGACCUAUUCCUAUUUGAGUAUGUUGACAUCGACAAAAGGCAGCAAAGAGAACAAGUAUUGAAGGGGGCAUAAAGAACUAUGGGAGAAGCAUCCAUUUGACAAGCUCAAAGUCAUUGGUUCGCACUACCGUGGUUAUAUCAAAGAUGCAAUGGGAAAGAAAGUUAGCUUGUUCACCAUCUUGACUGCAUUUUCAUUGUUUCUUAUUAGGCCUGAGAUGUAGAUAUACUGAAAGUUGUACACUGCAGGGGUCUAUACCCACAAACCAAGGAAGGCAACUCAGAAGUUUUUCCCUGCCAAUAACCAAGAUUCACAAGGAUAGGAGGGCAGAGAUAUCAUGCUGCCAUGGAACUGGUCCAUUUGUCAUUGCCUUGCUGCUUUCAUGUUCCCUGAUAUUCAGUAGCCAUAUACUUUUAGGACUUAGGAUGUGAUUUCACAUGCGUCGCUGAUCAUAGUUGAUGCUUUUGUCAGUUCAGGGUGAGCUAUUUUGUGUACAAUUGCUAUUGGUCGUGUAAUGACUGGCUAUGCAUGGCUCUGUUUUAUUGAGCUUAGAUGAAAAUUUGAUGGACCACCUAAAUUCAUAUGAAACAAACAAAGGCUAAGUAGAGCCCCAAAUUAGAGACACGAUGGAUGUCCAUCCUGAUCACUAUUAGAUUUUGUCAUCGAAGAGCUACUAAUAGACUUACAAUCUCGAAUGACUACCUGUAUUUUUCAGAAAAUUUGUUGACCUGGUCUUAUUUGGGCAUAGGACAUGCCUGUACUUUUUGUGAAAGUUACAGGAUGCACAUUCUAUUUAAAAUGGAUACAUUGCAAAUUUUGUUAUACCUCCAUUGGUCAGGACCUGACCAUGGAAGAAUGAACCCUAAAUGAUGUCAAAUUAUUGGUCAGGAUCUCCACAUAAUAUUUCACCAGCUUAGGCAUCUGCAUUGUCUGUUAGACAGGUUUGGUUUUUGGUUAUGUAUGGGUCCUUGCUUAGUAUGGCCCGGGAAACCUGACAGGUUAUGUAUGGGUAGUCGCUUAGUAUGGCCCGGGAAGGGCUAGCCACUGAACCACAUUAGUUGUAGGUAAUGAGUAGCCUUAUUUUGGUGAUAAAGAUGUGAUAUCAAUGCAACAUGCUGGUUUGCUACUGCGAGCGGACCGACACCAUUCUGCGAGGGAGGCGAGAAGCACUGGUGAGCCGGCGACAGCUAUUCUGUGUCGAGUGAGGCGGUGCUGCAAACACCGUGUUUUAUUGAUGCGAGUGGUGACGCGGGUCGACCAGCGUCGACUACGUUGGAGCUGUGGAGUGGGGCACUGCAAGCAGUGGCGGGAGACCGACGUCUAUUGGGAAGUGGCGCAACAAGUGGUGCUGAGGGGGCACGGGAGCUAGGGUAGUUGGGCAAAUCCAACAAUGCACAUGUCCUGAUCGUACAACUCAGGAGGGGGGCGGUCGCCGAAUGUGAUCGCCCAGCUGACGCCUGACGUUUCCCUAUUUGGGUAUGAGGCACAUUGGUUCAUGAAACAAUCUGACACGUCUUUAUGACUUGGGAAUUCUAUCCACCUUGCAUCAAAUUUAAAAUCCUCUAAGAGAAUUAUUCUAUGUUCUGAUAGAAAUAUUUAUGUUUCAUAGUAUAACAUGCUUUCAGUCUGAGACGUGCAAUGCAUGCUUACUAGUGUGUAUCCAAAUAGUACUCCCUCCGUAUCUAAGAGUAAACAAAUCUAAGAGUAAUUUGGACGGAGGUAAUACAAAUAUACAAUGAAACAAGCCAUAUAGGUUCGAUUCCUCCAAGAUUCCUAUGUAAUUUAUUGGAAAGAAAGAGGGCCUGAAUGCUGGACUAUAUUCAAUUAUCAUGACAAUCUGUUACAAUGCCAAACACACUCAGAUUCUCUUUUUCAACAAUUGACCAACCUGACAAAUGCCCUGAAUAUUUUGAGCCCCGGCACACAGCAAUGCAGACUUUCAAGUGAACAAUGCAAAACAGAAGGCAAAAAGAGUUACCUGGAAUAAUUUUAUUCUCUUACACCUCAUCCCAAGACGAUGGAAACAGGGUUAAGUCCAGGAGCGGAAAAAAAUGUUUUCUUACAAUCAAAUCAUUUUGUACGUGGAGGGGGAACAAAUAAUUUCUUUUAUCCCAUUUAGAAGCUUUAUUGAGAAAUCCAAAUCUCUAGAUAUACAAGCCUGGUAGCCAGCAGAUCAUUACACCUGUGCUAUGAUACAAUCUCACUAGAAGCCUGGAGAUACAAGAUUCACAG